RNAcentral lists this long non-coding RNA (324 nucleotides) under Elaeis guineensis (African oil palm). RNAcentral describes it as "long non-coding RNA (EGUI_LNC002486)". The record is from RNAcentral. Lineage: Eukaryota; Viridiplantae; Streptophyta; Magnoliopsida; Arecales; Arecaceae.
GGAGAUUGUUUUCCAUUUGGCCUUCAUUUCAUACUUUCUUUUAGACCUCAUAUGGGCAUUAUUUUCUACGUGGGCUUUUGGCAUAUUUCUAUUUUUGAUCAUUAAAUUUACUUUAGUCCCAUUGUAGCUAUUGAGUUCCACUAAUUGUCUUGAUUUAGUGCUUCUUCCUCCACUCUCAAAUGGGUAAUGAGUGCUUCAAUAGAAAGUUCCUUUUGUUUGUACCUUAUGACUUGGGCAAAUUCCUUCUAGAAUUUAGGUAGUUUGUCAGUGAUGGCUGAAGCUGACAUUAUUCAUCCACACAAAUCCUUUUAAAAUGAAGUUUAU